This 1444-nucleotide long non-coding RNA is filed under the name Musa acuminata (dwarf banana). Its description in RNAcentral is "long non-coding RNA (MACU_LNC005667)". The record is from RNAcentral. Lineage: Eukaryota; Viridiplantae; Streptophyta; Magnoliopsida; Zingiberales; Musaceae.
CCAUGAGAAAAACAGAGAAGCAUUUGCAGACAUUUCAUCAGAUCAAACCUUGACCUUCUCAAGUAUCUGUAUUAUCAUGCAGUACAAACAUAUGCAACUGCCUAAUGCAUAAAAAUUACAGUUAUAAUUCUGUAGUUUAACCAUGAAAUAUACAUAAAAAUAAAAAAUGAAGCCAUUAGAACUUGCGGAAGAUCUUAUAAGGUGGCUCAUAAUAGCAACAAUACAUUUCGUGUAUGUGAUCUGGAAAGUGCAUUUAGCAUGAGAAAGAAAACGAUUAAUGAAAAGAGCAAAAGAGACGUCAACACAAUGAUUCAUAAGUACAUUUAGCAUGUCACGUUCUAAAUCAAAUUUCUCAUACGGGCAAUUUGAUAACAACCUAUCAUGUGCAUCCUUUGUAGUGCAAUGGUACACAACAGAUGUGAUUACUUAAAGAAAAUAAAAAUCGAACAUCAUGAAUAGCGAUGCAAACUAAUUUAUUCACAUUAGAGAAAUAAUCCAAAUUUAAUAAAUGAAAGGUAAGGCAACAAUUAAUAAUCCAAACCAAAAAAGGUCAAUCCAAAAGCUGAUAUGCUAAAAAAUCUAAACUACUCGAGAUUUAUAAAACACGUAGCCAUACACUUGGAUAUUAUCGACUUUGUGGCUUCAAUCACAAUUCUCUAAAUUCCGGCAGAGGAUUUAGGGGGAAAAGAUGCAACUUCGAGAACGUAACAUAUCGAUUGAAGGCGCCAGGUAUUAGUGAAACAAACAAGAUCAUUAACUAAUGAAGGCUCGCCAACGUCGAUUUCCAUGAGUAAUAACGGAGAAAGGACAGAUUUUAACCAGAUCCCGUUACACAUCCGUGCAGCCAAAUUUUCUAGAGUCAAGAUCGGGAUACAUCACUAAAAGAAACGAAUCAAUCGGCCAAAAAGCCCCACUUUUGACACCAAAAGGAAAAGAAUACAGCGACGAUAAAACCACCAUACCUUCCACAAAGCUGUAAAACUCUUACAGUUAGUGAUUUCUUUUGGUGUCCAAAACCUAUCAAUAGAAUUUUGGAUGACCAAUUUAGGAGACACCGAAUAAAAUCUAAAACGAUCAAACAACCAAAAAAAUCUCAAAAGAAAAAGUGGAAAAAGCACCUCGAUAUCGAUUGAAUGCAGGAGGGCGGUCUCGGAAGCACGAUUCACCGACUCGCCAACGGGUAAGGAGGGCAGAGAGAGAGAGAGAGAGAGAGGCUGAAGGCGAUCGAGCUCCGACGACAAACACGUCCGAGUUUCACACCGAUCUCUCUCGCUUUUAUCGCGACCAAGCCAAAGAAAAGGGAAAGAAGGCUCGCAUGGAACGAAUAAAGGAACGAUCGGGGUGAAUUCUAGAACCGUGGGGAAGGUUUCUCUAGGGAGAGAGAGAUCCUCUCCAACUCGCAAUGUAAUUUGACGUUUUCAGUUCCCAAUCGCUCCGUUCAUCC